GACGAACGCUGGCGGCGUGCUUAACACAUGCAAGUCGAACGCUGAAGCUCAGCUUUUGUUGGGUGGAUGAGUGGCGAACGGGUGAGUAACACGUGAGUAACCUGCCUCCUUCUUUGGGAUAACGCCCGGAAACGGGUGCUAAUACUGGAUAUUCACUGGUCUUCGCAUGGGGGUUGGUGGAAAGGGCUGUUCUGGUGGGGGAUGGGCUCGCGGCCUAUCAGCUUGUUGGUGGGGUGAUGGCCUACCAAGGCUUUGACGGGUAGCCGGCCUGAGAGGGUGACCGGUCACAUUGGGACUGAGAUACGGCCCAGACUCCUACGGGGGGCAGCAGUUGGGACUAUUGCACAAUGGGCGCAAGCCUGAUGCCGCGUCGCCGCGUGAGGGCUGGGGGCCUUCGGGUUGUGAACCUCUUUCGCUCAUGGUCAAGCCGCAACAAUGGUUGUGGUGAGGGUAGUGGGUAAAGAAGCGCCGGCUAACUACGUG
This 483-nucleotide ribosomal RNA is filed under the name uncultured bacterium. RNAcentral's name for it is "partial 16S ribosomal RNA". It matches the Rfam family "Bacterial small subunit ribosomal RNA", at positions 28 to 507 of the family's 1533-position model. The record is from RNAcentral.